AAGGAAAAAAAUUAUUCAAGUCAGGACACGUUUUGAAUGGUGUAGAAACAGAAGAUUCAAAUAAACAUUCAACCAUAACCUGCUCAGUUGUCACUCAAACCAAAGUUUCCGAUAUUUACAGUAUAAAAAUUGAUGUGGCGUCAAGGUCAUCUUUCUCAAUCCCUAUGGCGCACGCGUAGUCAAAAAAUGGCGCGCUUAUUUAAAAUUAACUUUCAACAACGAAUAAUUUAUUUUUUUUAAGGAAGUAUGGGAGUUAAGUUGAAAUAAUGAGAUCAAUUUAAAAUUUUUAGGAUCGAAAGAAACAUAUUUAUUACGUGUUGUGUUAAAAUUUUAGAGACCUAGGGUUCAUAGUUUAUUUAUAAAUAAUUAUAUAUCUAUUCCGAUAGAUUAAAAAUAUGUCAUUUAAUAUUGUAAUGAUAUACCAGAUCUCACACCUACUCUUGUUUUAAUAAAUUUCAUGAUGAGAAAAUAAUGAGAAAGCUUUGAAAAAUUCAUUGUAAAAAAAGAAAGACCCAGUUACUGACACUGGCUUAGUUGUUUGACACUUGCAAUUUUAUUUCAAUUAAAACAAUAAAAUGUU
Molecule: long non-coding RNA, 580 nt
Organism: Cotesia glomerata
Lineage: Eukaryota; Metazoa; Arthropoda; Insecta; Hymenoptera; Braconidae
Exons: 2
Source: RefSeq, a predicted model, not a curated record